AUAUCAAACUUCACAGUUGCUUCAGCUAAUGAUAAUAUCUGUGUGAAAAAAGCUGCUCCUAUAGUUGGUUCCUGGUUAUCGAAGAACUGGCCCUUGAUGAAUCUUAAUACCAAACUGGUUUUCCCAGUUCCCAUGUCCCCCAGAAGCACCAGCUUGGCUUGUAUGAUCCUGUUGCCAGGCCUAGUCAUUGCNNNNNNGGAAUUAUCAAAGUAAAGAAAAAGUGUCAGACUGAGAGAUUGGGAUAUGGUUGUAUACAAUAUAAG
Molecule: unclassified non-coding RNA, 263 nt
Filed under: Hevea brasiliensis (rubber tree)
Lineage: Eukaryota; Viridiplantae; Streptophyta; Magnoliopsida; Malpighiales; Euphorbiaceae
Source: RNAcentral